UCGAGAAUAAUUCACAAUGGGGGAAACCCUGAUGGUGCAACGCCGCGUGGAGGAUGAAGGUCUUCGGAUUGUAAACUCCUGUCAUCUGGGAGUAAGACCUGGUCGUGAAUAGCGGACAGGGUUGAUAGUACCAGAAGAGGAAGGGACGGCUAACUUCGUGCCAGCAGCCGCGGUAAUACGAAGGUCCCAAGCGUUGUUCGGAAUCACUGGGCGUAAAGGGUGCGUAGGCGGUUUGGUAAGUCAGAUGUGAAAUCCCGGGGCUCAACCCCGGAACUGCAUCCGAUACUGCCAGACUAGAGGACUGGAGAGGUGACUGGAAUUCUCGGUGUAGCAGUGAAAUGCGUGGAUAUCGAGAGGAACACUCGUGGCGUAAGCGAGUCACUGGACAGUAUCUGACGCUGAGGCACGAAGGCCAGGGUAGCGAAAGGG
Molecule: ribosomal RNA, 429 nt
Filed under: uncultured Luteolibacter sp.
Lineage: Bacteria; Pseudomonadati; Verrucomicrobiota; Verrucomicrobiia; Verrucomicrobiales; Verrucomicrobiaceae
Description: bacterial SSU rRNA
Rfam family: Bacterial small subunit ribosomal RNA
Source: RNAcentral